GACGAACGCUGGCGGCGUGCUUAACACAUGCAAGUCGAACGGAAAGGCCCUGCUUUUGUGGGGUGCUCGAGUGGCGAACGGGUGAGUAACACGUGAGUAACCUGCCCUUGACUUUGGGAUAACUUCAGGAAACUGGGGCUAAUACCGGAUAGGAGCUCCUGCUGCAUGGUGGGGGUUGGAAAGUUUCGGCGGUUGGGGAUGGACUCGCGGCUUAUCAGCUUGUUGGUGGGGUAGUGGCUUACCAAGGCUUUGACGGGUAGCCGGCCUGAGAGGGUGACCGGCCACAUUGGGACUGAGAUACGGCCCAGACUCGUACGGGAGGCAGCAGUGGGGAAUAUUGCACAAUGGGCGCACGCCUGAUGCAGCAACGCCGCGUGCGGGAUGACGGCCUUCGGGUUGUAAACCGCUUUCGCAUGUGACGAAGCGUGAGUGACGGUAAUGGGUAAAGAAGCACCGGCUAACUACGUG
Molecule: ribosomal RNA, 468 nt
Filed under: uncultured bacterium
Lineage: Bacteria
Description: partial 16S ribosomal RNA
Rfam family: Bacterial small subunit ribosomal RNA
Source: RNAcentral